This 87-nucleotide ribosomal RNA is filed under the name Hymenidium amabile. RNAcentral's name for it is "partial 5.8S ribosomal RNA". It matches the Rfam family "5.8S ribosomal RNA", at positions 73 to 154 of the family's 154-position model. From Rfam's summary of the family: 5.8S ribosomal RNA (5.8S rRNA) is a component of the large subunit of the eukaryotic ribosome. It is transcribed by RNA polymerase I as part of the 45S precursor that also contains 18S and 28S rRNA. Functionally, it is thought that 5.8S rRNA may be involved in ribosome translocation. Lineage: Eukaryota; Viridiplantae; Streptophyta; Magnoliopsida; Apiales; Apiaceae. The record is from RNAcentral.
UGCAGAAUCCCGUGAACCAUCGAGUCUUUGAACGCAAGUUGCGCCCGAAGUCACUAGACUGAGGGCACGCCUGCCUGGGUGUCACGC